Molecule: ribosomal RNA, 268 nt
Filed under: uncultured prokaryote
Description: partial 16S ribosomal RNA
Rfam family: Bacterial small subunit ribosomal RNA
Source: RNAcentral
UACGUAGGUGACAAGCGUUAUCCGGAAUUAUUGGGCGUAAAGGGUGCGUAGGCGGCUAAUUAAGUACAAGGUUAAAGUUCAGAGCUCAACUCUGUGAUGCCUUGUAAACUGGUUGGCUAGAGUACAGGAGAGGUGAGUGGAAUUCCAUGUGUAGCGGUAAAAUGCGUAGAGAUAUGGAGGAACACCAGUGGCGAAGGCGGCUCACUGGCCUGUAACUGACGCUGAGGCACGAAAGCGUGGGGAGCAAAUAGGAUUAGAUACCCCGGUA